UACGUAGGGUGCGAGCGUUGUCCGGAAUUAUUGGGCGUAAAGAGCUCGUAGGCGGCCUGUCGCGUCGGAUGUGAAAGCCCGGGGCUUAACCCCGGGUCUGCAUUCGAUACGGGCAGGCUAGAGUUCGGUAGGGGAGAUCGGAAUUCCUGGUGUAGCGGUGAAAUGCGCAGAUAUCAGGAGGAACACCGGUGGCGAAGGCGGAUCUCUAGGCCGAUACUGACGCUGAGGAGCGAAAGCGUGGGGAGCGAACAGG
This 253-nucleotide ribosomal RNA is filed under the name uncultured bacterium. RNAcentral's name for it is "partial 16S ribosomal RNA". It matches the Rfam family "Bacterial small subunit ribosomal RNA", at positions 524 to 776 of the family's 1533-position model. The record is from RNAcentral.